CACGCCGUAAACGAUGAGUGCUAGGUGUCGGGGGUCAAACCUCGGUGCCGCCGUUAACACAUUAAGCACUCCGCCUGGGGAGUACGUACGCAAGUAUGAAACUCAAAGGAAUUGACGGGGACCCGCACAAGCAGCGGAGCAUGUGGUUUAAUUCGAUGCAACGCGAAGAACCUUACCAGGACUUGACAUCCCUCUGGUCGCUCUAGAGAUAGGGCUUUCUCUUCGGAGACAGAGGUGACAGGUGG
RNAcentral lists this ribosomal RNA (245 nucleotides) under uncultured Clostridium sp. RNAcentral's name for it is "partial 16S ribosomal RNA". It matches the Rfam family "Bacterial small subunit ribosomal RNA", at positions 796 to 1041 of the family's 1533-position model. The record is from RNAcentral. Lineage: Bacteria; Bacillati; Bacillota; Clostridia; Eubacteriales; Clostridiaceae.